RNAcentral lists this ribosomal RNA (550 nucleotides) under uncultured bacterium. RNAcentral describes it as "partial 16S ribosomal RNA". It matches the Rfam family "Bacterial small subunit ribosomal RNA", at positions 355 to 896 of the family's 1533-position model. The record is from RNAcentral.
UGGGGAAUUUUGGACAAUGGGCGCAAGCCUGAUCCAGCCAUGCCGCGUGCGGGAAGAAGGCCUUCGGGUUGUAAACCGCUUUUGUCAGGGAAGAAAUCUUCUGAGUUAAUACCUCGGGAGGAUGACGGUACCUGAAGAAUAAGCACCGGCUAACUACGUGCCAGCAGCCGCGGUAAUACGUAGGGUGCAAGCGUUAAUCGGAAUUACUGGGCGUAAAGCGUGCGCAGGCGGUUUUGUAAGACAGAGGUGAAAUCCCCGGGCUCAACCUGGGAACUGCCUUUGUGACUGCAAGGCUUGAGUGCGGCAGAGGGGGAUGGAAUUCCGCGUGUAGCAGUGAAAUGCGUAGAUAUGCGGAGGAACACCGAUGGCGAAGGCAAUCCCCUGGGCCUGCACUGACGCUCAUGCACGAAAGCGUGGGGAGCAAACAGGAUUAGAUACCCUGGUAGUCCACGCCCUAAAACGGAUGUCAACUGGUUGUUGGGAAGGUUCCUUCUCAGUAACGUAGCUAACGCGUGAAGUUGGCCGCCUGGGGAGUACGGCCGCAAGGUUG